GAUUCCCCUAGUAACUGCGAGUGAAGCGGGAAAAGCUCAAAUUUAAAAUCUGGCCGCCUUUGGCCGUCCGAGUUGUAAUCUAGAGAAGUGUUACCCGCGUCGGACCGUGUACAAGUCUCCUGGAAUGGAGCGUCAUAGAGGGUGAGAAUCCCGUCUUUGACACGGACUACCGAGGCUUCUGUGGUGNGCUCUCAAAGAGUCGAGUUGUUUGGGAAUGCAGCUCAAAAUGGGUGGUAAAUUCCAUCUAAAGCUAAAUAUUGGCGAGAGACCGAUAGCGAACAAGUACCGUGAGGGAAAGAUGAAAAGAACUUUGGAAAGAGAGUUAAACAGUACGUGAAAUUGCUGAAAGGGAAACGCUUGAAGUCAGUCGCGUCGUCCGGGAAUCAGCCUUCCUUCUGGUUGGCGUACUUCCUGGUCGACGGGCCAGCAUCAGUUUUGACCGGUGGAAAAAGUUGUAGGGAAUGUGGCACCUCCGGGUGUGUUAUAGCCUUGCUUCGUAUACAUCGGUUGGGACUGAGGAACUCAGCACGCCGCAAGGCCGGGAUUCGUCCACGUUCGUGCUUAGGAUGCUGGCAUAAUGGCUUUAAUCGACCCGUCUUGAAACACGGACCAAGGAGUCUAACAUGCCUGCGAGUGUUUGGGUGGAAAACCCGAGCGCGUAAUGAAAGUGAAAGUUGAGAUCCCUGUCAUGGGGAGCAUCGACGCCCGGACCAGACGUUCUCUGACGGUUCUGCGGUAGAGCAUGUAUGUUGGGACCCGAAAGAUGGUGAACUAUGCCUGAAUAGGGUGAAGCCAGAGGAAACUCUGGUGGAGGCUCGUAGC
This 822-nucleotide ribosomal RNA is filed under the name Coprinellus disseminatus. RNAcentral describes it as "eukaryotic LSU rRNA". It matches the Rfam family "Eukaryotic large subunit ribosomal RNA", at positions 73 to 881 of the family's 3401-position model. Lineage: Eukaryota; Fungi; Basidiomycota; Agaricomycetes; Agaricales; Psathyrellaceae. The record is from RNAcentral.